AAGCACGGGAAAAGAAUUUUAUGUUAAACCAUAGAUCAGUGGCGGGGGCUGCAUUAGCAGGAGACUCAGAGUUUGUCAUGUUCUGCUGAAACUGAGAAGUGUACCGGUAUGUUCAAACAUACAUCCAGGUGAUGUUCUGUGUGGCAUAGCAAUUCAGUAUAGGGGAGUAGAAAUUAUAAACAGUGCUUUUGUUUUAAAGCAGCUGUCUGUGGCGUAGUUUUUUAAUCGGUGUGUGUGUGUGUGUAAGAGACGUGUUAGUACGCCAUUGCAUUGUUUUGCUUGGUAACUUCUGUAACUAUUUUGCACACUUAGUAAGCGGAUACUUUAAAAUAACCAUGGGUGUCUACGGGUUAACGUGUUUGCUGCUGUUGUGCGUGGUAGAGGUUUUUAGCAAACCCACUUAUAAAAAUGAACGGGUUCAUCUCGACCCAGAAUUGAGCAGAGAUCCUCAUGAAGACAACCAAAGCUACCGAUACGACCAUGAGGCCUUCUUGGGAAAAGAAGAGGCCACGACUUUUGAUCAGUUAACUCCAGAAGAAAGCAAGGAAAGACUUGGGAAAAUUGUUGAUAGGAUUGAUGGUGACAAAGAUGGAUAUGUUACUACAGAUGAGCUAAAGAGCUGGAUUAAUAGAGUACAGAAGCGGUACAUUUAUGAAAAUGUAGCUAAAGUUUGGACGGACUAUGAUUUAAACAAAGACAACAAGAUUUCUUGGGAUGAAUACAAAAAAGCCACCUAUGGCUACUACCUUGCUAACCCGGAAGAGUUCCAGGAUGCCACAGACCAGUUCAGUUUCAAAAAGAUGCUCCCCCGUGAUGAAAGGAGAUUCAAAACUGCUGACCUCGAUGGGGACACGGCAGCCAGCCGGGAAGAAUUCACUGCCUUCCUUCACCCAGAGGAGUUUGAUCACAUGAAAGACAUUGUUGUUCUUGAAACCUUGGAAGACAUAGAUAAGAAUGGUGAUGGUCAUGUGGAUGAAGAUGAGUACAUUGCUGACAUGUUUGCUCAUGAAGUAGAAGGACCGGAACCGGACUGGGUGAAAACAGAAAGAGAGCAGUUUGCAGACUUCCGGGACACCAAUAAGGAUGGAAAGAUGGACAAAGAGGAAAUUCGGCAUUGGAUCCUUCCUCAGGACUAUGAUCAUGCACAGGCUGAAGCCAGACAUCUAGUCUAUGAAUCAGACUUGAACAAGCAAUACAGUAUACGCCAUCAGUGUCUGUGCCCUGAAGAUUUUGGACUUUCUGCUACCCUGAUACAGAGCAAAUAGUAACAAGUGCAUGUAUCAAGCUUUUCACUUGUCUGCUGCUCAGCAUGAAUCAACAGAAUAGUACCAAUACUAUAGAAGCUGCUAAGGAUCAACUAUUGACCAAAGAAGAAGUUUUGGAAAACUGGAACAUGUUUGUUGGAAGUCAGGCAACUAAUUAUGGAGAAGACCUCACCAAAAACCAUGAUGAGUUGUGAUCCGAAUUGCUUCGGAAUGUGAAGUCCUUUUCUUGCCAAAAACUUGUAUCAAAAUUUGAAAGAAAUGAAUGAAGCCACUGGUGCUUUUUAAACAAAGCGUUUUGCUUGAACAGUGACUGAAACACCUGGGAGUCGAAUUGAGUGUAGUUUUACCUCACUUUUUCAGGGGAGUGCUGCCAUGUUACCUGUUGGCAUCAGUGACAGGGUUGUGCUUAUCUUGUAUAUAUGUGUCGAGUGCUUCCAAUCGGUAUUGUAGAACUUUGGCUCUGAAUUCUAUUCAAGAUUCUUUUUCAGCUGCUUCUAUUGUGCCUGCAUAAAUACAUGCAGAGAACAAGCAUGUCCUGCAUUGCCAGAGUUUCUCUUGUUGGUCAGGCAUUUUUGCCAUUUGCCAUUCUUUGGUUUCUGGUCUUUUCCCACUUUUGUUUCAUGCAUGUCAGUAUUCAAAAUGACACAACCUAGCUCCGAGGCAUUUCAGUAAUAUGCUGUUUUCUCAAUAGACUGUUACCUUUCAUUACGUGUGCCGAUUAUUGGACAAACUGCGCAUGGGCAGUAGAGGUAUUUACAGAACAAAUAAAGCAGAUGUUUAAUUAGUAUUGUAAUAGCAGUGCCGGUGCCUGUCAAAAUACUGAUGGCUUCUAUUUUAUAAUUAAACAUUUUUAUGUCCAAUAUUUAGUUAUUGCCAACCUAAUUUUCUGCAGUUGGUGUCAGAUUAACGGUUUUACAUACUUCAGCUCAACUUCAUUUAUUAGGAAUGUGUUUUAAUAAUAAUGCUUUGUACAGUAUUUCAGGGUUGCAUGUGUAAAAUAAUUUCGUAGGUUUAUUUAACUGUUUUUUUUUCUCAGUUUUUUUUUUCUUUGACAGUGAAAUGUUAGUGAACAGUUUUUCAUGUGUUACUGCAUCAAGUUUAACUCGUAUAGCUAUUUCAUGAAGAUGUUCUAUAUAGACACUUUUAUAAUGUGUAGAAAACUUUAUCAGAAAACAAAUGUGUUGCACUAUCCAGCAGUGGCUUCAAGUUAGUAUUUAACAUUAUUUGUAGUGUGUGGUGUUUUUUUUGUUUUUUUUCACUCAUUUAAUCCACGACAGGGUUGACAUGCACACAAAAUGUAUUCUGAUUUUUUUCUUAUAAAGUGCUACAUUUUCA
RNA transcript from Acipenser ruthenus (sterlet), 2600 nucleotides. It is a transcript of the gene named reticulocalbin-1-like, with no coding region annotated. The record is from RefSeq and is a predicted model, not a curated record. Lineage: Eukaryota; Metazoa; Chordata; Actinopteri; Acipenseriformes; Acipenseridae. The transcript is spliced from 8 exons.